AAGAGACUCGGUAAGUCGUAUAAACUAGCCCUGGUGCGGAUGGGUUACUCCCGCUCUGUUUCUUACUUCAGGUUAAAGAGUAAGUGGCGUGCAUGACA
RNAcentral lists this non-coding RNA (98 nucleotides) under unclassified sequences. RNAcentral's name for it is "wcaG RNA". It matches the Rfam family "wcaG RNA". The record is from RNAcentral.